UUUUCAUUGGAGAGUUUGAUCCUGGCUCAGGACGAACGCUGGCGGCGUGCUUAACACAUGCAAGUCGAACGGAAAGGCCCCUUUGGGGGUACUCGAGUGGCGAACGGGUGAGUAACACGUGAGUAACCUGCCCUUGACUUCGGGAUAACUUCAGGAAACUGGGGCUAAUACCGGAUAGGAAUCCUUGCUGCAUGGUGGGGGUUGGAAAGCUUCGGCGGUUUUGGAUGGACUCGCGGCUUAUCAGCUUGUUGGUGGGGUAGUGGCUUACCAAGGCUUUGACGGGUAGCCGGCCUGAGAGGGCGACCGGCCACAUUGGGACUGAGAUACGGCCCAGACUCCUACGGGAGGCAGCAGUGGGGAAUAUUGCACAAUGGGCGGAAGCCUGAUGCAGCAACGCCGCGUGCGGGAUGACGGCCUUCGGGUUGUAAACCGCUUUCAGCAGGGGCGAAGCUUGUGGUGACGGUACCUGCAGAAGAAGCACCGGCUAACUACGUGCCAGCAGCCGCGGUGAUACGUAGGGUGCGAGCGUUGUCCGGAUUUAUUGGGCGUAAAGAGCUCGUAGGUGGUUGAUUGCGUCGGAAGUGAAAACUUGGGGCUUAACCCUGAGCGUGCUUUCGAUACGGGUUGACUUGAGGAAGGUAGGGGAG
RNAcentral lists this ribosomal RNA (647 nucleotides) under Cutibacterium avidum. RNAcentral describes it as "bacterial SSU rRNA". It matches the Rfam family "Bacterial small subunit ribosomal RNA", at positions 1 to 659 of the family's 1533-position model. Lineage: Bacteria; Bacillati; Actinomycetota; Actinomycetes; Propionibacteriales; Propionibacteriaceae. The record is from RNAcentral.